AGCCUCAGAGUUUCCUUCCUGUUCAUGCAGAAUUUUUUUUUUAUUAUUAUUGCCUUGAAGCCAAAACAAUUAUUUUUUCGGUCUUUACAUCCAAAACAAAUUACAUUGUGUCUACCAGGCAGCCUUGUCUUGCUGGAGUUUAUUAAAUAAAACACAGCAUUUGUUUCACAUUCUGGUUGAUCGCAGUUUGAACUGCACUGAUCCUUACCUCGAGCAACCGCAAGCUGAAAGGAUGCAUGUUCUAGCUAAGAAUAUUAAUAAUGAAAAAUGGUUGCCACUCUUGAGCAAAUGUGCAUUUUGAGGUGAGAAUAAGAAUUGGGUUUGGCUGCUUCAGGGCCACAUGCCUGUGUGCCAGCAUUUUAGCCACGGGGGAAAUAGAUCCUCUAACCAAAGUGAUCCCCAACCCAAAUUCAGCUUCUUGCACCCAGAGCUGCUGCACAGCAUCUCUGAGGCAAGGCAUGGACUGGCGCAGAGCUUCUGCUGCACUUCUCUUGACUUUGUCCAAUCCUUUAUUUAAUUCUUUUCCUUUGUAGGUCUUUAUCAGCACUCCUUGUGGAGCUGGAAGGACUUGGGUGGCUCUGCCUGGGUUUGCACUGAACGGACCUCAGCUAGACAGAACACCGGGCAGAAAUAGUUGCCUGGUUUGUGAACUGCUACAAUCCAGCUGCCCUUAUCUCCAUGUUGUUUCCUCAUGCAGUCUGUAUGCCCAUGGGAUGCACUUCCAAAUGGAGCUAACUCCAUCCGAGCACCUACAGUGGGCCACCAGAUCCAAAAAGAUGAGCAAAGAGGAACAGAUGGAGGUGAAGAAACGCAUGCAGGCGUGAAACUGAAGCUGGUUGUGGUGAAGGGAGCACUGACUGUGUGUGGUGUGGAGUGGUGUAGCACCAAGUGCUGGGUACUUCUGGCAGAUCCAGCCAUCUGUGAGUGCAGCGCUGUAAGUAAUGCAAUAUGCAUGAAGUGCUCCAUUUGUGUUUGCAAAAAGCUAUUUAACCACUAGGAGGGGAAAAAAAAAAGGAAAAAAAAAUAGAAUUAAGGGGGAAGAUGUAUAAUCAACUUGCACAUUUCUCAAAAGGUCUAGUUUGUCAUUGUUGUCUUGAGGUGAUGAAGUAAAAGCCUUAAAGAAACAGAACGAUGCUGCUAAUGUAG
Molecule: long non-coding RNA, 1146 nt
Filed under: Numida meleagris (helmeted guineafowl)
Lineage: Eukaryota; Metazoa; Chordata; Aves; Galliformes; Numididae
Description: lncRNA (ENSNMEG00000016669.1)
Source: RNAcentral